GUGGGGAAUAUUGGACAAUGGGGGGAACCCUGAUCCAGCCAUGCCGCGUGUGUGAAGAAGGCCUUUUGGUUGUAAAGCACUUUAAGCGAGGAGGAGGCUACCGAGAUUAAUACUCUUGGAUAGUGGACGUUACUCGCAGAAUAAGCACCGGCUAACUCUGUGCCAGCAGCCGCGGUAAUACAGAGGGUGCAAGCGUUAAUCGGAUUUACUGGGCGUAAAGCGCGCGUAGGUGGCCAAUUAAGUCAAAUGUGAAAUCCCCGAGCUUAACUUGGGAAUUGCAUUGGAUACUGGUUGGCUAGAGUAUGGGAGAGGAUGGUAGAAUUCCAGGUGUAGCGGUGAAAUGCGUAGAGAUCUGGAGGAAUACCGAUGGCGAAGGCAGCCAUCUGGCCUAAUACUGACACUGAGGUGCGAAAGCAUGGGGAGCAAACAGGAUUAGAAACCCGUGUAGUCC
RNAcentral lists this ribosomal RNA (451 nucleotides) under uncultured bacterium. RNAcentral's name for it is "partial 16S ribosomal RNA". It matches the Rfam family "Bacterial small subunit ribosomal RNA", at positions 354 to 796 of the family's 1533-position model. The record is from RNAcentral.